UGCCAGCAGCCGCGGUAAUACGGAGGGUGCAAGCGUUGUUCGGAAUUAUUGGGCGUAAAGGGCACGUAGGCGGAUUAGAAAGUUGGGGGUGAAAUCCCAGGGCUCAACCCUGGAACUGCCUCCAAAACUACUAGUCUUGAGUUCGAGAGAGGUGAGUGGAAUUCCGAGUGUAGAGGUGAAAUUCGUAGAUAUUCGGAGGAACACCAGUGGCGAAGGCGGCUCACUGGCUCGAUACUGACGCUGAGGUGCGAAAGUGUGGGGAGCAAACAGGAUUAGAUA
Molecule: ribosomal RNA, 279 nt
Filed under: uncultured bacterium
Lineage: Bacteria
Description: partial 16S ribosomal RNA
Rfam family: Bacterial small subunit ribosomal RNA
Source: RNAcentral